AUGUGGGGAGUAAGAGAAGUACUGAUUCCGUCAGUGGAGGAGCUAGUUUUAGUUAACAUGUCCGGGUUGGAGAGAUGUUCCUGCACUUCCUUGGGGGGUCUGUUGUCUAGUUUAAGGGUACUGGAGAUCCGGAAGUGCAGCGCACUCAGGGUGUUUGAUCUGUUCGAGAAAGCUCACAACUCGGAAACUCAGCUUAAGCCAUUGGAUUCUCUACAGCUGCAUUCCUGCACGUCUCUGGAAGAUUUGGGAAUUGAAGACUGUGGAGGGAUCAUCGCAAUAGAGGGCCUUCACCUCGUGAAACUCAGGCAUUUGAAUGUAUGCAAAAAAUCAAUUUUUCGUGGUAUAUCAGGGAAGGGCUAUCACAUAGGAUCUCAACUGGAUCUAUUUAUAAUUAGUGACUUGUCCCUCCUUACCACAUCAAUCUGCAAAGGGCUCACCUGUCUCCAGAGCCUAAUAAUUCAAAAUUUGAAGUGCGAGACCAGGAGACUAACAGAUGAUCAAGAGAGCGCGCUUCUGCUCCACAAGUCCCUUCAAGAGCUAGUGUUUGAUGAUUGUGGGUACCUCGUGCAUCUUCCUGCAGGACUGCGUUGUCUUCCUAUCCUCAAGAAAUUGAAGAUCAUAAGAUGUAGCAGCAUAUUAAGGCUUCUGAAGGAGGAACUCCCACCUUCGCUGGUGGAACUGGAAAUCGACUAUUGCAGCUUUGAGUUGGCAAAACAAUGCAGAUUGCUAUCAACAAGCAAGCUAGAGGUCAUAAUUUAUGAUGACUAUGACCAAGAAGAAACCGAUACUUCCAGCAACUAG
Molecule: ribosomal RNA, 801 nt
Filed under: Triticum aestivum (bread wheat)
Lineage: Eukaryota; Viridiplantae; Streptophyta; Magnoliopsida; Poales; Poaceae
Description: partial small subunit ribosomal RNA
Source: RNAcentral